GGGUUUGGAUAAUCGCCCACCUGGUGGUUUCCUCAGCUAUUUCAAUCACCCAUGGAGUCAGUCACUUCCCCAGCCGACCCCACCACAUUUAUUUGAUGGAAAUAGAGGGAAAGGGAGCCCAACAAUGUUAGCUUCUGAAUCUCAUCGGCGACGCCGGCCCUUGAUUAAUUUAGACAAUGAUGAGGAUAAUGCAAAUGGUGCUAGUAGGACUGACAUACGGCUAAAAUAUACGAAGCCAGAGGAAGUGCGCUUGGUGAGUUGCAUUAUAUGUAUUUACAGAUGGAUGAUGUCCUACAGCAGCUUACAAAACUUCAGGGCACAAAUGAAAGUCGAGAAAAGAUGUUGGAAACCCAGAAACAUGUUUCAAGAGAGAAGCUUGAAUCAUCUAGACUUAAUCACCUCGCUGCCAAAGAAAAUGCUAAAUCGGCUAUGCUGGAGACUUACAGAGCACUAAGUAUGAAAGAUACAAGUGCAAUGCCUGAUGAUGUCAGAGCUGAGCACUUGGCAUUUAUGAAAUGUGUAAGAGAGAGCUUAUUUGGCAAAUCUGAAUCAGAUGCAAAUGGUUGCUCUUAAAGAGAAUCAGUGAUGAUUCUGAUGAACUAGAUCCAGCCAAUUUUAUGGGAAGAGUAUAUUGCCCAACAAAAUAUCCUAGGAUCCAUUGCUAAACAGCUGCUAGACACCUACAACUCAGGACCUUCUCAUCGCCUAAGUGGUCCAAGGAAGUGUAUCCAAAGGGACCAUGAAGGUGCUCACCAACGUCUUGUAACUGACUACUUUGCUGAAAAUCCCCUCUACCCUGAAAGAAUGUUCCGUACUAGAUUUAGGAUGACAAAGCAUCUCUUCUUGCGCAUCGUCAAUGCCCUGAGUGAAUGGUCUCCAUACUUCACUCUGAGGGCAGAUUGUGCAAAUCGCCAAGGGCUCUCGCCUCUGCAGAAGUGCACAUCGGCAAUUCGCAUGCUUGCAUAUGGCACACCUGCUGAUGCCCUUGAUGAGUACCUGAAGAUUGGGAAGAGCACUGCAUUGGAGUGCUUAGACAAGUUUGCACAAGGUGUGAUUGAGGUGUUCUCAGGGGAGUAUAUGCGUGCUCCCAGAGUUGAAGAUGUGCAGCGUCUACUUCAAGUCAAUGAGUCUCGUGGCUUUCCAGGCAUGUUGGGAAGCAUCGAUUGCAUGCAUUGGAGGUGGGAAAAUUGUCCUGUGGCUUGGAAGGGGCAAUUUACCCGUGGCGACUAUGGAGUCCCAACGAUUAUCCUGGAAGCAGUUGCUGAUAAGGAUCUCAGGAUAUGGCAUGCUUUCUUUGGUGUGCCUGGUUCUAAUAAUGACAUCAAUGUGCUGAAUCAGUCCCCAUUAUUCAUUGAAGCAUUGAAAGGUCAAGCACCUCAAGUUCAGUUUUCUGUUAAUGGGAGGCAGUAUAACACAGGCUACUAUCUUGCUGAUGGAAUAUACCCAGAAUGGGCAGCCUUUGUGAAGUCAAUAAAAGCACCUCAGAUGGAGAAGCACCUCAACUGAAAAAAGACUUAAUUGAGCAUAUUUGGCAAAAGUUUGCCAAUAGGAGAAAUAACUAGUUGUGUGUGCAAUAUCCUCUUUCUUUAAAAUGUUCCUGUUGGGGGUUCUUCCUGAAUGCUAGAUAUGGCUAAAUAAAUUGAGACUCUGGAUGCUAGAUAUAUUUCCAAGUCAUUAGUGUAAUAGUUAGUUGCUCAUGGUAGUAGCCUUAAGCUUUUAAAUUUGUGUGCCCCCUUUGGUCUAUCUUAUGCUGUGAACUUGAUGUAACAGCCAUUAUAUUUUACCAAGGAACAAUAUUAAUGCUUAUUGCUUCAGUCGAUAAUAUGUUUGAUUUA
This is an RNA transcript of Sorghum bicolor (sorghum), 1835 nucleotides long. It is a transcript of the gene named actin cytoskeleton-regulatory complex protein PAN1, with no coding region annotated. NCBI's taxonomy places the organism in Eukaryota, Viridiplantae, Streptophyta, Magnoliopsida, Poales, Poaceae. The transcript has 4 exons. The record is from RefSeq and is a predicted model, not a curated record.